AAUUGUAAACAGCAAUAAUGUUCAGCAAAGUAAGAUCUACAAAUAAGUCAACAUGACCAAAAUGGUCAGUUGACCCCUUUAGGAGUUAUUGCCCUUUAUAGUCAAUCUUUAACCAUUUUUCAUAAAUCUAAGUAAUCUUUUACAAAAUCUCCACUGAAACUACUAGGCCACAAUCAUCUUUGGGGUAUCUAGUUUGAAAAAUGUGUCCGAUGACCUGGCCAUUCAACCAAGAUGGCCGCCACGGCUAAAAAUAGAACAUGGGGGUAAAAUGCAGUUUUUGGCUUAUAACUAUGAAACCAAAGCAUCUAGAGCAAAUCUGACAAGAAGUUAAAUUGUUAAUCAAGUCAAUAUCUAUCUGCCCUGAAUUUUUCAGAUGAAUUGGACAACUGGUUGUUGGGUUGCUGCCCUCCAAUUGGUAAUUUUUAAAGAAAUUUUGCUGUUUUUGGUUAUCUUGAAC
Molecule: long non-coding RNA, 457 nt
Filed under: Mytilus galloprovincialis (Mediterranean mussel)
Lineage: Eukaryota; Metazoa; Mollusca; Bivalvia; Mytilida; Mytilidae
Source: RNAcentral